This 74-nucleotide transfer RNA is filed under the name Glycine max (soybean). Its description in RNAcentral is "tRNA-Ile". It matches the Rfam family "tRNA". Rfam says of the family: Transfer RNA (tRNA) molecules are approximately 80 nucleotides in length. Their secondary structure includes four short double-helical elements and three loops (D, anti-codon, and T loops). The record is from RNAcentral. Lineage: Eukaryota; Viridiplantae; Streptophyta; Magnoliopsida; Fabales; Fabaceae.
GGCCCAUUAGCUCAGUUGGUUAGAGUGUGGUGCUAAUAACGCCAAGGUCGCAGGUUCGAGACCUGCAUGGGCCA